UACAGAGGUCCCAAGCGUUGUUCGGAUUCAUUGGGCGUAAAGGGUGCGUAGGUGGCGCCGUAAGUCAGGUGUGAAAUCUCGGGGCUUAACUCCGAAACUGCAUUUGAUACUGCGGUGCUUGAGGACUGGAGAGGAGACUGGAAUUUACGGUGUAGCGGUGAAAUGCGUAGAUAUCGUAAGGAAGACCAGUGGCGAAGGCGGGUCUCUGGACAGUUCCUGACGCUGAGGCACGAAGGUCAGGGGAGCAAACGGG
This 253-nucleotide ribosomal RNA is filed under the name uncultured bacterium. Its description in RNAcentral is "partial 16S ribosomal RNA". It matches the Rfam family "Bacterial small subunit ribosomal RNA", at positions 524 to 776 of the family's 1533-position model. The record is from RNAcentral.